RNAcentral lists this ribosomal RNA (252 nucleotides) under uncultured bacterium. Its description in RNAcentral is "partial 16S ribosomal RNA". It matches the Rfam family "Bacterial small subunit ribosomal RNA", at positions 524 to 776 of the family's 1533-position model. The record is from RNAcentral.
UACGUAGGUGGCAAGCGUUGUCCGGAAUUAUUGGGCGUAAAGCGCGCGCCGGCGGAUCAGUCAGUCUGUCUUAAAAGUUCGGGGCUUAACCCCGUGAGGGGAUGGAAACUGCUGAUCUAGAGUAUCGGAGAGGAAAGUGGAAUUCCUAGUGUAGCGGUGAAAUGCGUAGAUAUUAGGAGGAACACCAGUGGCGAAGGCGACUUUCUGGACGAAAACUGACGCUGAGGCGCGAAAGCGCGGGGAGCAAGCAGG